UAUGUGAUCGUCUCUCGCAUAUCAAUAAGCGGAGGAAAAGAAACUAACAAGGAUUCCCCUAGUAACGGCGAGUGAAGCGGGAAGAGCUCAAAUUUGAAAUCUUAAAGGGUUUCCCUUUACGAAUUGUAGUUUAAAGAAGUGUUUUCUGUUGAGGUUUUGGUAAAAGUUCUUUGGAAUAGGACAUCAUAGAGGGUGAGAAUCCCGUAUUUGACCUUUACUUUCAACUUUGUGAUACACUUUCAAAGAGUCGGAUUGUUUGGGAAUGCAGUCCAAAAUGGGUGGUAAAUUUCAUCUAAAGCUAAAUAUCGGCGAGAGACCGAUAGCGAACAAGUACCGUGAGGGAAAGAUGAAAAGAACUUUGAAAAGAGAGUUAAACAGUACGUGAAAUUGUCAAAAGGGAAGCGUUUGACACCAGUGUUGUUUUUCUGAAAAUCAAUUAAAGAACUGUUUAUGCUAAGCUGUUUAGACUUUAUCAGCUAUCUGUUUAGUUUUGAGCUUUUCUUUAAUGCACUUUUCAGUUAACAAGUCAACAUCAAUUUCUUUUGCUGUAAAAAAGCUUGAGGAAGGCGGCUUGAGAUUCGUCUUAAGUGUUUAUAGCCUCUUGCCUAUGCAGUCGGAGAGAUUGAGGUCUGCAGCGUAGAUCCUUCGGGGCUAAAUGCAUUUGUGCUAAGUUAUAGCAUUUUAUAGACAACUUGUUGACUAUGAUUUGUCUUGUAGCUUACUCGCUUAUGUUAUUUUACCUACGCUUAGGAUGUUGAGCGCAUGUCUCUCUCU
This 774-nucleotide ribosomal RNA is filed under the name uncultured Neocallimastigales. RNAcentral describes it as "partial large subunit ribosomal RNA". It matches the Rfam family "Eukaryotic large subunit ribosomal RNA", at positions 24 to 616 of the family's 3401-position model. Lineage: Eukaryota; Fungi; Neocallimastigomycota; Neocallimastigomycetes; Neocallimastigales. The record is from RNAcentral.